This 278-nucleotide unclassified non-coding RNA is filed under the name Hevea brasiliensis (rubber tree). The record is from RNAcentral. Lineage: Eukaryota; Viridiplantae; Streptophyta; Magnoliopsida; Malpighiales; Euphorbiaceae.
GAAUUUUUGAACACUGUGCAUAUGGGGAAGAUGCUUCAUUUCAAUGUCUUGAUUUUUUUUUAUCUUAAGGUGAUAUUAUGACAUUCAUUCAGUGUGAAUAUCGUGACUUCACACGUCGUCGCAGCGAUAGUGCGUGAAUAUUUUUGAACAUGUGUUCGUGCAACAUAUUUGAGACACAUCAUCUGUUGAAAUACAUUUGUUUGAGGCAUGUUUUAACAUGGAGGUUUGAGGUGGUUGUGUUCAUGUCAGAUGACAAGGGGAAAUGUAUUGAACAGUUU